Molecule: ribosomal RNA, 260 nt
Filed under: uncultured bacterium
Lineage: Bacteria
Description: partial 16S ribosomal RNA
Rfam family: Bacterial small subunit ribosomal RNA
Source: RNAcentral
UACGGGGGGAGCAAGCGUUGUUCGGAUUUACUGGGCGUAAAGGGCGCGUAGGCGGCAUGACAAGUCACUUGUGAAAUCUCCGGGCUUAACUCGGAACGGUCAAGUGAUACUGUCGUGCUAGAGUACAGAAGGGGCAACUGGAAUUCUCGGUGUAGCGGUGAAAUGCGUAGAUAUCGCUUGGAACGCCGAAGGUGAAAAACAGACUGCUGGGGGUUGCGCCGACGCUGAGACACGAAAAGCCCAGGGGGAGCAAAACGGGG